RNAcentral lists this non-coding RNA (69 nucleotides) under unclassified sequences. Its description in RNAcentral is "DUF805 RNA". It matches the Rfam family "DUF805 RNA". The record is from RNAcentral.
UAAUUGUAGAGACAAGGAACUACAUGAAAACACGGGGCGUUUCUGAAAAGCCAAAUGAGUAAGAGAAAA